This 253-nucleotide ribosomal RNA is filed under the name uncultured bacterium. RNAcentral describes it as "partial 16S ribosomal RNA". It matches the Rfam family "Bacterial small subunit ribosomal RNA", at positions 524 to 776 of the family's 1533-position model. The record is from RNAcentral.
UACGGGGGGGGCAAGCGUUGUUCGGAAUUACUGGGCGUAAAGGGCUCGUAGGCGGCCAACUAAGUCGGAUGUGAAAUCCCCAGGCUUAACCUGGGAACUGCAUCCGAUACUGGAUGGCUUGAAUCCGGGAGAGGGAUGCAGAAUUCCAGGUGUAGCGGUGAAAUGCGUAGAUAUCCGGAGGAACACCGGUGGCGAAGGCGGCUUCCUGGACCGACACUGACGCUGAGGCGCGAAAGCUAGGGGAGCAAACGGG